CUUCAGUCCAGAUCUUCUGUUAAGACCUACUAACAGCUACAGCUCUUUAAUGGAAACAGUUAUGCAGGAGAAGACCAGAAGGAUCAUUUGAAAAGAGGACCAGACCAUAUGUUUGGACCCAGAUUUCUCCACUAGCAUUCUGUGCUAUUUUUGGGACCUUAUUUUUAGAAGUAGAGAUGCAGCAAAUGAUGAACUGCUGAUUUACUGAAUCCCCGAAGUAGUCAUUUCCAAUCUGAACACUGGGGGAAAAGAACUGGCAUUUAAC
RNAcentral lists this long non-coding RNA (265 nucleotides) under Phasianus colchicus (ring-necked pheasant). RNAcentral's name for it is "lncRNA (ENSPCLG00000017760.1)". The record is from RNAcentral. Lineage: Eukaryota; Metazoa; Chordata; Aves; Galliformes; Phasianidae.